UGCAAGUCGAGCGGAUGAAGGGAGCUUGCUCCUGGAUUCAGCGGCGGACGGGUGAGUAAUGCCUAGGAAUCUGCCUGGUAGUGGGGGAUAACGUCCGGAAACGGGCGCUAAUACCGCAUACGUCCUGAGGGAGAAAGUGGGGGAUCUUCGGACCUCACGCUAUCAGAUGAGCCUAGGUCGGAUUAGCUAGUUGGUGGGGUAAAGGCCUACCAAGGCGACGAUCCGUAACUGGUCUGAGAGGAUGAUCAGUCACACUGGAACUGAGACACGGUCCAGACUCCUACGGGAGGCAGCAGUGGGGAAUAUUGGACAAUGGGCGAAAGCCUGAUCCAGCCAUGCCGCGUGUGUGAAGAAGGUCUUCGGAUUGUAAAGCACUUUAAGUUGGGGAGGAAGGGCAGUAAGUUAAUACCUUGCUGUUUUGACGUUACCAACAGAAUAAGCACCGGCUAACUUCGUGCCAGCAGCCGCGGUAAUACGAAGGGUGCAAGCGUUAAUCGGAAUUACUGGGCGUAAAGCGCGCGU
RNAcentral lists this ribosomal RNA (522 nucleotides) under uncultured Pseudomonas sp. RNAcentral describes it as "bacterial SSU rRNA". It matches the Rfam family "Bacterial small subunit ribosomal RNA", at positions 56 to 572 of the family's 1533-position model. The record is from RNAcentral. Lineage: Bacteria; Pseudomonadati; Pseudomonadota; Gammaproteobacteria; Pseudomonadales; Pseudomonadaceae.